RNAcentral lists this ribosomal RNA (495 nucleotides) under uncultured bacterium. Its description in RNAcentral is "partial 16S ribosomal RNA". It matches the Rfam family "Bacterial small subunit ribosomal RNA", at positions 28 to 505 of the family's 1533-position model. The record is from RNAcentral.
GAUGAACGCUGGCGGCGUGCCUAAUACAUGCAAGUCGAGCGAACAGAUGAGGAGCUUGCUCCUCUGACGUUAGCGGCGGACGGGUGAGUAACACGUGGAUAACCUACCUAUAAGACUGGGAUAACUUCGGGAAACCGGAGCUAAUACCGGAUAAUAUAUUGAACCGCAUGGUUCAAUAGUGAAAGACGGUUUUGCUGUCACUUAUAGAUGGAUCCGCGCCGCAUUAGCUAGUUGGUAAGGUAACGGCUUACCAAGGCAACGAUGCGUAGCCGACCUGAGAGGGUGGUCGGCCACACUGGAACUGAGACACGGUCCAGACUCCUACGGGAGGCAGCAGUAGGGAAUCUUCCGCAAUGGGCGAAAGCCUGACGGAGCAACGCCGCGUGAGUGAUGAAGGUCUUCGGAUCGUAAAACUCUGUUAUUAGGGAAGAACAAAUGUGUAAGUAACUAUGCACGUCUUGACGGUACCUAAUCAGAAAGCCACGGCUAACUACG